GCAGUAGCCGCGGGAAUACGAAGGGGGCUAGCGUUGUUCGGAUUUACUGGGCGUAAAGCGCACGUAGGCGGAUCGAUCAGUCAGGGGUGAAAUCCCAGAGCUCAACUCUGGAACUGCCUUUGAUACUGUCGAUCUGGAGUAUGGAAGAGGUGAGUGGAAUUCCGAGUGUAGAGGUGAAAUUCGUAGAUAUUCGGAGGAACACCAGUGGCGAAGGCGGCUCACUGGUCCAUUACUGACGCUGAGGUGCGAAAGCGUGGGGAGCAAACAGGAUUAGAUACCCCCGUAGUCCCUGUCUCUUAUAC
Molecule: ribosomal RNA, 302 nt
Filed under: uncultured bacterium
Lineage: Bacteria
Description: partial 16S ribosomal RNA
Rfam family: Bacterial small subunit ribosomal RNA
Source: RNAcentral